Molecule: long non-coding RNA, 645 nt
Organism: Gasterosteus aculeatus aculeatus (three-spined stickleback)
Lineage: Eukaryota; Metazoa; Chordata; Actinopteri; Perciformes; Gasterosteidae
Source: RefSeq, a predicted model, not a curated record
AGCCAGGAAGUGGCGAGAAACACUGGCCACUCACAUUAGAACCAGUUUCUGCUUGCAGUUGUAGCCGAGAUGUCGCUGGAGGGAUCUUUUCUAAGAUAAAUAUGAAUCCAUCUACACAAGCUUCAACCGUUUCUUUUUUCUUUUCUUUUUUUUUUGUGGAGGCGUAAUGCGCCAACGAAGCUCCAGAAGGGCCCGUGUGACAUUUGUACUAUUAUGGAUGUGCCCACGCAGAUGAGAGGAGGUGGAAAGGCCAUCCGAGACUUUUCUUCACGUCGAAUCAAGAAGAGAGCAGAGAGAAAGAAGUAGCUUCAAUUCAAUGUUUUACCUUAUCUAGAAACAUUUCCAUUUCUGUUAUUUAAUAUGAACCACUGGUUUCACGUUAUUUUCGAUGCAUAGAUAUUAUGGAAAUAUAUAGAAAGUAAAAAUAGUACCAACUGCAAUUAUUUUCAUUGAAUUGUUUGUUAGGUUGCCAAUUUUCAGGAAAUGUCUGUAUUUUUUUUGCUAUCACUUUCACAAUUAAAUAUUGUCUACAGCAGAACUAAACCAAACAUAUUUUACAUAUUUUGAAACUGUCGUGUAUUUGAUUUGGUGAUCAUGUGAAAUGCUUCCGAUGUGUCUAAAUUAAAACUACAAGGAUUGCUACAA